This 406-nucleotide ribosomal RNA is filed under the name uncultured bacterium. RNAcentral describes it as "partial 16S ribosomal RNA". It matches the Rfam family "Bacterial small subunit ribosomal RNA", at positions 30 to 526 of the family's 1533-position model. The record is from RNAcentral.
AUUGAACGCUGGCGGCAGGCCUAACACAUGCAAGUCGAGCGAGCGGCGGACGGGUGAGUAAUGUAUGGGGAUCUGCCUGAUGGAGGGGGAUAACUACUGGAAACGGUAGCUAAUACCGCAUACCAUCAGAUGAACCCAUAUGGGAUUAGCUGGUAGGUAGGGUAACGGCUUACCAAGGCGGAGAUCACUAGCUGGUCUGAGAGGAUGACCAGACACACUGGGACGGAGACACGGCCCAUAAUCCUACGGGAGGCAGCAGUGGGGAAGAUUGCACAAUGGGCGCAAGCCUGAUGCAGCCAUGCCGCGUGUAUGAAGAAGGCCUUCGGGUUGUAAAGUACUUUCAUUCGGGAGGCGUUACCGACAGAAGAAGCACCGGCUAACUCCGUGCCAGCAGCCGCGGUAAUAC